GGUGGGUAGGUGGGGUGGGGGAGAGAAGGACUACGGACCACGACCACCGGGCGGUUCAGAUUCCAGUUGGGUAAAGAGGAGAUGGUUCAUGAUGCCGAGGGCCCCAUCCUCCUCAGCUGCAGCGAAGACCAGAGUCGCUUCCGAAGUCGGAACGUGUAAGGCUACGAGAGGUGGGCCAGGAAAGGGUUAAGCAGCCAACCGACGCAAGAGAGAGAGAGAGAGAGAGCAAUUUAAGCAAACCACCGCUGGAUCCUCCCCGGAUCAGGUUCGGCUCUUUCUUUGGAUUCGGGCUCCUUUCAGACGCGCCAAGCUUCCAGGAGAGAUCAGUGGAGCCACGCGCACGAGGAAGAACAGGAUCUCUUUUCUGUCCAGUUCAGAUUCCUCCUUCAAGCUGACAGGAUACUCAAGGAUUUCCCUUUUACCGUCCCUGUCCCCCUGCUUUAGCUGGAGAAAGGAAAGGGAGGGAUUUUUUAAAAAAAAAUAAUAAUAAAUAAGCCAGAGACCUUGCUCCGAUUAUGAAUCUUUUUUGUAGUUCAUCCCAAUUCCAAGUUGCUGGUUUUGGUUUGUUGGGUUGCUUCUCCGCCGGCAAAUGUUGCGCUGCAGACUCGCUCAGCCCGUUUUUUGUUUUUUUCCCGCUCUUUCACACCUACAUGCGCGCGCGCGCCCCCGCGCACAUCCACCCAAGCACACGGGCACCUCUCCACGAACACGGCAUCGUGCGUUAUCCUGGGAUCCGGGCAGCAGCAAAGCGGAGGAUGAUUAACAGCGCGUGCUCUGGAAUAAAGCUUGCCAGGUCUUCCCGCGUAAUUGAAGAGGAGAGACUCAAGAAGCAAAGAGAACCCUGAGGUGGAUGUUCAUAAAACCUCAGACUGCUGAGCACAUGAGAGAACAAUGAAUAUGCCAACAAAUUUCACAUUUCUGUCCUUUAAAAAUGGGAAGGUAAGUGAUGAGCAGGUACACUGUGGAUGUUCAUUGAGCUAGGAUCGAAAUUAGGGGAUGCAUAAAUCUGUCAGUCUUGGUCUCACUGAGCGCCCUCUUUUCCCACUGGAUUUCUUAUUCUCUCUUCACUCUGCAUAAUGAAGCAUUAAUCAGACAAAUGUGUUGCCCAUAUCUCCUUUGAAACUAUGCCUUCUUCAAGGCUACAAGGACAGAAAAUUCCACUAUAGAUAGGAGAAAAAGUACUUUCAAGAUUGUGUAUAUGUAUUAAUGCUGCUGGCUGGAUAGCUCAGUGGUUAAGGUAUCUUGCUGCAGAGCCAGAGGUUAGAAGUUUGAUUUCCCACUGUGCUUCCUGGGAGAAAAGCCAGCCUGUGCAGCUAUGUGCAAGCCAGGGCACCUCUAGGAGAAGAGAAUGGUAAACCACUUAAGAGUAUUUUCUUCCUAGAAGACCCUGGAAAAGGUAAUCAUAAGUCAGAAUUGACUUGAUGGCAUACAAUCAUCAUUAUAAUGUGUGUAGCUGUCAGAUUGCUUCUGACCUACAGUAAUCCUAUAAAUUGGUGACCUCCAAAAGGUUUUAUUAUCAACAGCCCUCCUUGGAUCUUACAGACUAAAGGCCAUAGCUUUCUUUACUGAGCCUAUCCAUGUCAUGCUAGGUAUUUUUUCCUUUCCGACUGUCCUCAGUUUUUCCUAGCAUUAUUGUACUUUUAAUAUUAAUAUUUUCCAGGAAGUAAUACAUUUACUUUCUAGUCACUUUCCAAUGACUCUUCCUUUUUCCUGAUAUGCUGAUAUGCCCAUAUUUCAGGUUAGUAUUAAAACAUUAGGGGCAGUAAUGGCUUCUAAUUUACAGAGAAAGAUAUCUAAAAUGAGCAGCAUCUAUGAUGUCCUAUGCUGUUAUUUAUCUCCAAAAUGAGAAAAUCCCUUGAAAUAUUAAAUGAUUGGUUACAGAGAGCGCAAAUUGGCUGGCCUACAUAUUGUCUCCCUUCCCCUCUUUCCCCACCAUAGUUGAAAAUCAAAAAUACUUAUACAGUGUUCCUUCACUGAAAGAACACUUCUUUGAAGGAUGCAUAAAUCUGAAGAGCUGAUCAUUUCCCUUCUUCCUCUCUUUAUUUAUAAGACUUCUGAAAAUAAAUUUCCAGCAAGGUCCUUUUUGAUUUAACUA
This is a long non-coding RNA of Pogona vitticeps (central bearded dragon), 2095 nucleotides long. Lineage: Eukaryota; Metazoa; Chordata; Lepidosauria; Squamata; Agamidae. The record is from Ensembl.